UACGUAGGGUGCAAGCGUUGUCCGGAAUUAUUGGGCGUAAAGAGCGUGUAGGCGGCCAGGUAGGUCUGGUGUGAAAACUCGAGGCUUAACCUCGAGAUGUCAUCGGAAACCAUCUGGCUAGAGUCCGGAAGAGGAGAGUGGAAUUCCUGGUGUAGCGGUGAAAUGCGCAGAUAUCAGGAGGAACACCAAUGGCGAAGGCAGCUCGCUGGGACGGUACUGACGCUGAGACGCGAAAGCGUGGGGAGCAAACAGG
RNAcentral lists this ribosomal RNA (253 nucleotides) under uncultured bacterium. Its description in RNAcentral is "partial 16S ribosomal RNA". It matches the Rfam family "Bacterial small subunit ribosomal RNA", at positions 524 to 776 of the family's 1533-position model. The record is from RNAcentral.